RNAcentral lists this ribosomal RNA (492 nucleotides) under uncultured bacterium. Its description in RNAcentral is "partial 16S ribosomal RNA". It matches the Rfam family "Bacterial small subunit ribosomal RNA", at positions 29 to 507 of the family's 1533-position model. The record is from RNAcentral.
AGUGAACGCUGGCGGUAGGCCUAACACAUGCAAGUCGAACGGCAGCACAGUAAGAGCUUGCUCUUACGGGUGGCGAGUGGCGGACGGGUGAGGAAUACAUCGGAAUCUACUUUUUCGUGGGGGAUAACGUAGGGAAACUUACGCUAAUACCUCAUACGACCUACGGGUGAAAGCAGGGGAUCUUCGUACCUUGCGCGAUUGAAUGAGCCGAUGUCGGAUUAGCUAGUUGGCGGGGUAAAGGCCCACCAAGGCGACGAUCCGUAGCUGGUCUGAGAGGAUGAUCAGCCACACUGGAACUGAGAAACGGUCCAGACUCCUACGGGAGGCAGCAGUGGGGAAUAUUGGACAAUGGGCGCAAGCCUGAUCAAGCCAUACCGCGUGGGUGAAGAAGGCCUUCGGGUUGUAAAGCCCUUUUGUUGGGAAAGAAAAGCAGCAGGUUAAUAACCCGCUGUUCUGACGGUACCCAAAGAAUAAGCACCGGCUAACUUCGUG